This 253-nucleotide ribosomal RNA is filed under the name uncultured bacterium. RNAcentral's name for it is "partial 16S ribosomal RNA". It matches the Rfam family "Bacterial small subunit ribosomal RNA", at positions 524 to 776 of the family's 1533-position model. The record is from RNAcentral.
UACAGAGGGUGCGAGCGUUAAUCGGAACCACUGGGCUUAAAGGGUGCGUAGGCGGAUGCGUAGGCGCUUUGUGAAAUCCCUCGGCUCAACCGAGGAAUUGCUUGGCGAACCACGCGUCUUGAGGUUGGUAGAGGUCGCUGGAACGAUAGGUGGAGCGGUGAAAUGCGUAGAUAUCUGUCGGAACGCCAAAGGUGAAGCCAGGCGACUGGGCCAUACCUGACGCUGAGGCACGAAAGCGUGGGGAGCAAACGGG